Coturnix japonica (Japanese quail) is the source of this 3780-nucleotide non-coding RNA. The record is from RefSeq and is a predicted model, not a curated record. Lineage: Eukaryota; Metazoa; Chordata; Aves; Galliformes; Phasianidae.
CACAAGAGGUGGAUCUCUUUCUGGAGAUCCCUUCUUCUGGAGAUUUUAGUGAGUGUUGAUCCUUGAGAUGGGCCAUUCCAGCACCCGCUUUAUCUCCAGUGAUCUCUGACCCCUGCGUGUCAGGAGUUCAAUCUGCUUCAUCUUGUUCUCACCUUCUGGGCUACCCCCUGCUUUAAGGCCCUUCUCAGGGUCACAGAGUUCCUGGAGGAAAGCAGGUGCACAGCAUAAAGCCCUUUGAAACCAAAUUCCCUGCUGCCCAAGGGGUGUCCUGACCUGCUGUUUGCCUCUAGGAUCAUCUCCAGCUGAGCAUCUCAUGGUGGGCCACCAUGAAUUAGACUUGUGCUUGCUCACUGCACAAGGCUUUUGUGCUUUCACCUGUCCAAGCAUGAACUGAUCCAUGUCCCCAGUGUGACAUGAGCAGUGCAUCUGCCUGCUUGCUGUCAGCCAUGUGGCCAGCUCAGCUCUGGUGGUGACAACAGCAAAGAGGGCAUGGUGUAAUUUUCAGAUCCGUUGGGGAGUUUUCAGCAGUGAUGGCUGGAAAAAAACAGCAAUUUCUCUGUGAAAAAGGGCACAUUCAUUCUGGUUCCAAUGAGAAAGAAAUAAAUAGAAAGCCUGGUAGUGACUGUCCUUAAUUGAUUAGUCAUUUCUGCAGAUGAUAAUUGCACAUCAAAAGACAGGGAUCCUACUGUUUCAUGCAAAUGUCCCCAGGAAUAACAGCAAGGCACAGGGGAAGUGGGUAGAGGAAAUAAAUCCUUUAAGACGCUGCCCAGGAGAAUUCAGAGCUUGAGAUCCAUUUUGGAAAAACAAUGUUGCUCUGAACAUGUCUGGAAGAAAUAUCCUCAACCUCCUGAGUGCCAGAAACAUGGAGAAAGAGGGGAGCCGGGAGUGUGCCCCAGCCAUGCCAGAGCAUCACCUCUUCAGACACUGGUGGGGAACUUGAAGAGCUGGCUGAGGAUCCAGAAUUGGAGUUAUUUUUUGUGGGUUCUGCAGCGAACCCCAGUUUUGGGUCCUUCCCACACACUGCAGUUUCCUGGGCUCUCUGACUUGUGCCUGUUGUGUCCAGUCCCAUUCUGCUCCCCAUGCUACCGCAUCUGGGCCGCAAGCUAAACACCAACCCCGGGGCUCAUCUGAGAACCUCCGUUCUCAUUUAAUUAUUUCAGAGAAGCUGCUAGCCCUGGUGUCUGGCAAAAGAGGCUUGUGAGCAUGACUCAGUCAGCCUCCAAAAGCAGCAGUGAAAAAACAAGAAUCUGCUGUGAGCUGCAUCUUGAUUUUUUUUAAGCCAGCCUCGUGAUGCUUUGCAGGGCCAAAGCACGAGUCUGUAAUAUCAGAACAGUGCCAUAAACUGCAGGCGUUUUGGGGUGCUAAUAAGAAAAAUGGUCCUUUUUCGCAAGCACGCAGCCAUCACUGGGGUCAUGGAGACCCUCUUGUAGGGUGUGAGCCCCUCUGCAUCAUAGCUGUGCUGUGGGAGAAGCUUUUGCAGGUGUCAUUUCUUGCUUCCAAGGUUCCCAGCUGCCCUCCUCACUGCCCCCAGUAAAUCCCCAAACUGUGAUCCUUCUAGGCCCCAUGUCCCUGACAUCAUUGAGCACUGGCAUGCAAGGAAGAGCUGGGGACACCACUGGACUGUGAUCUUGCAUCUGCUCAGACCCGCCAGCACUGGAUUCUUCAGAGCAGUGGUCAGGGAUUUGCAGGGCAAUAAGCUGCCUUCAGCCCUACCUAAAGGAUGACUGUGGAAGACGUAUGAGGCACUGGUGGUCAUGGAGAAGCCAUUUAGCAAAUUCCUCCAGCCAAGAUUCCCACUCUGUGGUCCCUACAGCCUCUGGUGGAAAUGAGAUCUGACCUUCCACCUCCUCCUAUGCAGCUCUGCAUGCCUGGAUUCCUCCAUGCUCAUCACCUUCAGCGUGGGUUAAUGAACAGCUGGCAUUUAAAUAUUCCUUCAUCACUCCAUCCACGUCACCGAUGAAGUCACAGACAGCAUGUUGGAUCCGCAGGUUUGCCUUCAGAUCCUUUACCUUCAGCUGUCUUCAGCACAGAGCUGCUGCAAGCUCCUUCCCCUUUGUAGUCAGCAAAGAGAAAUAGGCGCUUUCAGGGCAUGAGUCAUCUGACCUAUUUAGCCAUCUUAGGAAGAGAUGAAUGAGUCCUUAAGAGGGCCCGUUUCUUACUGCUGUCUAGACAGCCAAGCUCUCAGCUGCAGACGCCUACCCUUGCUCUUCGGGCUGGGAAGGACUGCUGGCUAACGGUGGGCUCCCCGCUCCAGCAAAGCAUUGGCUCACACCUGAGUAUUCAGGAAAGAUGUGCACUCAGCUUUGCUCCCUCUGAAGGGAGGAUUUCAACACCAAAAGGGUGGAAACCCACUUCUGCUGUACCUCCAAGGGAGGGUUUCAUGGAGCUGGGCUUCUUCUGCUGUGACAAUACAGCAGAGGUUAUUUCAGGUCUGAAUGUCAAUGGGUGGUGUUAGCCAAGAGGAGGUGUUUUAUUAUUCUCAGUGAAACCAGCAAAAGUGGCCCAGUCACCCUGGUGACACCACUCCGUGACUGCGACCCAGUGCCAACACCAGCUGGUCUGGGAUAGACUUGAGCCUGCGGAGCACUUGGUCUUCACAAGGAUGCAAAUAGCAAAGACCAUGCAGUUUAAAGGGUCAACCUGUUCUAAGAAGAAAGCCCAACCACUGGGACUCUUUGUGAUUCCUGGGGCUAUUAUGAAUUUCUCUGUGCAAGAGAACGAAAGUGUCCAAGUGAGUGGUGACCAUCUCAUUCAGAUGGCCUGUGGGCCACUUGCUCAUGGCUCUCUGUUAAUCUGCAUUACCAUUCUUUGCCUUGUCUUGCCUUGCCUUGUUCAUAAAGAUCUGUGGGUACCCACAAGAUUGGUGGCAUGGACUAAUAGGAACAGGGUAGGCAUGGGAAGGUGGUACUAUACAAGCUAAAAAGUCUCUAACAUAGUUAAAACAAGCUGUGCAUCUAGGAACCAAUCUGGUUUGCUGUGCCUAAGAGGGACUCUGGCAAUUACAAAUGGCCCAAAGUCAUCUUUUGUUUUAGAAGCAGGGGAAGAAUGAGUCACAGCAGGGACUGGACUCACAUCUGUCCUCCAAAACCCCAAGGCAGAUCCUGAAUGCUGUGGUGAGGCCUUGGCACAUGUGUUGGAAAGCAUGUUCUGGUACCAGAGACAGGCUCCAAGGCCAAUGAAACAGUGUGAGAAAAAGCUUUAUGCGGAGAGGCAUUAGAAAAUGCACUCCAGAAAGGGCUUCAGAAAUGUGUUUUGGGGACCAAAUGCCAAUAGAUCUCAGGGAUGCCUUACCUCAGUCCUUUAUUUGCUGCCCAAGAACCCACCAUCCUUCAAGGACCUGGAACAGCCACAGCAGGGAGUCAAACACUGAGAUUUUUGAGGUUUUCAUUGAGCACCACAAAAGGGGAGAUGUUGCAGAGCCAAAAAGGAUCCCCACCAACACCCAUCCCAUGCCAGCAGAGCAAACGCAGAGCCAGCACCUGUUCAGAGCCCUGCCAAAACAGGAGCCUGAGUCAUGCCCUGGCUGUCACGAAGACAAGCAGACACUUUCAAAAUUAAUAUAUAUAUUUAUUGAAUAGUUGCUCUAAGUUGGCUUGUGAAGCCACCCAUAGAAUUACUUUUCAUCUCAGCAGUGGUUCAGUUAUCAGUUAUUAGCUUUGCAAGAGAAGAAAACCAAACAGAAGGAGGUGCGUUAAAAUAAAUAGGUUAUUUUUUUUCUUAUCUUUAAAAUAAACUUUUGAAAUAAAUACUUUGUUGUUUUUUUUAGAGUUUUUUUGGGUU